UUAGUUGCGGUUUUUUGCGCAAAGGAUGCACGAGUAAACAAUGCAAAACAAUAAAGAAUACUGUUUAUCAUGUAAAAUAACAUCAAUAUGUUGUUUGACAGGGAUAGGUACAUAUCUUAUUUACCAUGGUAGACAACCACUUCAAAAACAUAAAUUCUCGCUGAUUUUCCUAGGACUAGGUUGCGUAGGAUUAGGUAUCGGAGAAAUAUUUGAUAAAUCGCCAUUUCGUAAUUAUAAAGAUAUUCAUGAGUAAAUCAGAAAUAAAUAAAUAUAUGUAAUAUAAAUCUUAAUCA
Long non-coding RNA from Zophobas morio, 293 nucleotides. RefSeq lists it as uncharacterized. NCBI's taxonomy places the organism in Eukaryota, Metazoa, Arthropoda, Insecta, Coleoptera, Tenebrionidae. The record is from RefSeq and is a predicted model, not a curated record. The transcript is spliced from 2 exons.